Molecule: ribosomal RNA, 543 nt
Filed under: Neokalmusia didymospora
Lineage: Eukaryota; Fungi; Ascomycota; Dothideomycetes; Pleosporales; Didymosphaeriaceae
Description: eukaryotic LSU rRNA
Rfam family: 5.8S ribosomal RNA (bases 186-339)
Source: RNAcentral
GUAACAAGGUUUCCGUAGGUGAACCUGCGGAAGGAUCAUUACAGUGGGGGGCUCUGCCCCGUUAACCAUGAUACUACCCUUGAUUUUGGAUACCUCUUGUUUCCUUGACGGGCUCGCCCGUCAGUGGACCAACCGAAACCUAUCUUGCAAUAGCAGUACCCUCUGACAAGCAAACAAAAAGUCAAAACUUUCAACAACGGAUCUCUUGGUUCUGGCAUCGAUGAAGAACGCAGCGAAAUGCGAUAAGUAGUGUGAAUUGCAGAAUUCAGUGAAUCAUCGAAUCUUUGAACGCACAUUGCGCCCUUUGGUAUUCCUUAGGGCAUGCCUGUUCGAGCGUCAUUUAAACCUUCAAGCUCAGCUUGGUGUUGGGCGCCUGUCCCCCUCCACGGGGACUCGCCUCAAAUGCAUUGGCAGCCGGUACGUUGGCUUCGAGCGCAGCAGAAACGCGCCCGGCGUCUGGCGUCGUCCGGCUCUCCAGCAAGACAAACCCACGUUUGACCUCGGAUCAGGUAGGGAUACCCGCUGAACUUAAGCAUAUCAAAG